Molecule: long non-coding RNA, 550 nt
Filed under: Helianthus annuus (common sunflower)
Lineage: Eukaryota; Viridiplantae; Streptophyta; Magnoliopsida; Asterales; Asteraceae
Description: sRNA HanXRQr2_Chr16g0735571
Source: RNAcentral
UAAAAACACACUUUCAUAACAAAAACAUCCAAAACUUCACAUAGUAUUAAAUAUCAACCUAUCCUAACCAGCUAUAUAGUGGUUAGCUACUCAUAGAAUUAUCUAAAACACAAGAAAGCAUUGAAUACAUGAUCAGAUCUAAAAGAAAACGAUAAUAUGAAGGGUCUACCUUGGUAAGGAUCAAUAUCUCGACCUCCUGUAUGCUAUGCUUCCUUGAAUCCUUCUCCCGUUGAUCGAAUCCUGAAUCUUCCUUCUUGGAACAACCCUUUUUUCGCGUUUCUUGCUGCUUAGUUCGUAACUUAUGGUAUCAAUCGACAUAUCUUUCUUUAAAUAAGGUCCAGGUGUAGUCCAGGGCAGGUACGACCCGUAAGCAACUAUCGGGUGCUGCCCGUAUCAAGAUGAAGAAGAUUUCAAGAAUUCCAAAUGUUUGAUGAUCCUUCCUUCCACCUCCUGUGGAUUGGAGAGAAAAUCUUUGGUAGCAAUUGGUGGAGAACAAGAGAAUUUACUUAGAGAAUUUGGAUGUUUGGGUUCUUGUGUACAUGGUAUUUAG